This 164-nucleotide ribosomal RNA is filed under the name Corymbium enerve. RNAcentral describes it as "5.8S ribosomal RNA". It matches the Rfam family "5.8S ribosomal RNA". From Rfam's summary of the family: 5.8S ribosomal RNA (5.8S rRNA) is a component of the large subunit of the eukaryotic ribosome. It is transcribed by RNA polymerase I as part of the 45S precursor that also contains 18S and 28S rRNA. Lineage: Eukaryota; Viridiplantae; Streptophyta; Magnoliopsida; Asterales; Asteraceae. The record is from RNAcentral.
UAAACGACUCUCGGCAACGGAUAUCUCGGCUCACGCAUCGAUGAAGAACGUAGCAAAAUGCGAUACUUGGUGUGAAUUGCAGAAUCCCGUGAACCAUCGAGUUUUCGAACGCAAGUUGCGCCCGAAGCCAUCCGGCCGAGGGCACGUCUGCCUGGGCGUCACGC